UACGUAGGUGGCAAGCGUUGUCCGGAUUUACUGGGCGUAAAGAGCGCGCAGGCGGUCGUUCAAGUCGCGUGUGAAAGCCCCCGGCUCAACUGGGGAGGGUCACGCGAUACUGAUCGACUCGAAGGCAGGAGAGGGUAGUGGAAUUCCCGGUGUAGUGGUGAAAUGCGUAGAUAUCGGGAGGAACACCAAUGGCGAAGGCAGCUCGCUGGGACGUUACUGACGCUGAGGCGCGAAAGCGUGGGGAUCAAACAGG
This 253-nucleotide ribosomal RNA is filed under the name uncultured bacterium. RNAcentral's name for it is "partial 16S ribosomal RNA". It matches the Rfam family "Bacterial small subunit ribosomal RNA", at positions 524 to 776 of the family's 1533-position model. The record is from RNAcentral.